UCCGUGUCAGUUGCAUUGAAUGCAGCMCCUAAAGUGGAUUUAUGCGCCUUCCUAAGCAGGUCAURCAGGCUUAAAAGCUGUACCACAGAUCUGCUAAAGGAAACACUGGCAGGAAACAGAGAAAAACAUGGCCRCUCCUUUUCUGUUCAUCCUGCUCCAUCUGCUUUCAACCUCCGCCGAUGAUUGCAAGAGCCCUCCACAUAACAGUCUCACUUGCUACAAUGAUUACAGUCAUAAUAUCAGCUGCACAUGGAAAAGCUCACGUCAUAAGAAUGAUGCCUGCUCAAUAUAUGCUGAACUGCCC
Non-coding RNA from Poecilia reticulata (guppy), 304 nucleotides. The record is from RefSeq and is a predicted model, not a curated record. Lineage: Eukaryota; Metazoa; Chordata; Actinopteri; Cyprinodontiformes; Poeciliidae.